GACGAACGCUGGCGGCGUGCUUAACACAUGCAAGUCGAGCGGUAAGGCCCUUUCGGGGGUACACGAGCGGCGAACGGGUGAGUAACACGUGGGUGACCUGCCCUCAGCUCUGGGAUAAGCCCGGGAAACUGGGUCUAAUACCGGAUAUGACUUCAUGACGCAUGUUGUGGAGUGGAAAGCCUUGUGCGGCUGAGGAUGGGCCCGC
This 205-nucleotide ribosomal RNA is filed under the name uncultured bacterium. RNAcentral's name for it is "partial 16S ribosomal RNA". It matches the Rfam family "Bacterial small subunit ribosomal RNA", at positions 28 to 234 of the family's 1533-position model. The record is from RNAcentral.